GUCAGUGUGGUGUAGGGGAUUGAAUGACAGGCUAUGACUCUGCAGACCAGAGUUUGAAUCCCUGCUCAGCCA
This is a non-coding RNA of Phrynosoma platyrhinos (Desert horned lizard), 72 nucleotides long. NCBI's taxonomy places the organism in Eukaryota, Metazoa, Chordata, Lepidosauria, Squamata, Phrynosomatidae. The record is from the annotation of a GenBank genome assembly.